UGGGGAAUAUUGCACAAUGGGCGGAAGCCUGAUGCAGCGACGCCGCGUGGGGGAUGACGGCCUUCGGGUUGUAAACCUCUUUCGGUUGGGACGAAGCCUUUCGGGGUGACGGUACCUUCAGAAGAAGCACCGGCCAACUACGUGCCAGCAGCCGCGGUAAUACGUAGGGUGCGAGCGUUGUCCGGAAUUACUGGGCGUAAAGAGCUCGUAGGCGGUUUGUCGCGUCGAUCGUGAAAACUCGCAGCUCAACUGUGGGCGUGCGGUCGAUACGGGCAGACUUGAGUACUGCAGGGGAGACUGGAAUUCCUGGUGUAGCGGUGAAAUGCGCAGAUAUCAGGAGGAACACCGGUGGCGAAGGCGGGUCUCUGGGCAGUAACUGACGCUGAGGAGCGAAAGCGUGGGUAGCGAACAGG
This 413-nucleotide ribosomal RNA is filed under the name uncultured Skermania sp. RNAcentral's name for it is "bacterial SSU rRNA". It matches the Rfam family "Bacterial small subunit ribosomal RNA", at positions 355 to 776 of the family's 1533-position model. The record is from RNAcentral. Lineage: Bacteria; Bacillati; Actinomycetota; Actinomycetes; Mycobacteriales; Gordoniaceae.